UUGGAGAUGUUGAUUUAGUACAUCUGGAGUGGAACCGGGUAAUAUAUUCUUUUUUUAAGCCUCUUAUCUAAUUCUGGUUAGAGAUCAACUGUCUCAGACUGUCUCUCCCAGCUCUUGGUCAUCUCCUCCAUGAUUUUGUCAGGGGCUAAACAUUACCCAAUUUAAGGUAAGCUAAAGAGUAUUCCUGUUACAGAUAGAAAAAAAAAAAAGUUCAUGGGUAGCAGUUCCCAGAAGGUGGGUAUGAAAAGCCUAGCUCUCUCCCUAAUGGAGAAAAGCAAAUCUCACCAUCCAUUAUUCACAGAGACUUUUUGUAGUUCCCUGAAGCAAGGCUGUUUUACCCUGCCCAACUUGGGAAGCAUUCUCCUUGGUUCACGCUAAUGGAAAAUGGAGGAGAAAAUGGUUUAUAGACUAUUCUUGCUGAGACAACCGUCUGGGUGACCCAAAACAAAAAUCAACUAAUCAAUCCCAAGGCUUCCUACACAUUGACUGGAAAUCUACCCCCACAACUUGAUGUGGGAGGGAAACACCCAAGUUCCCAGAAAAUCCCAUUUAUCCAUAAGACCCUUCUCCUCAUUAUUUCAGCCUCCCUAGGGAUAGACACUAAGGUGUUACAGCUCUGGUCCAUUGCAUGAAGAGUUAUCCAGGGCCUGGAAGAUGUUCAUGGUGGCAUCAACUGACCACCUCAGUCAUAAAUGGUCCUGGAAAUCCGACUUGGAUCAGUACUGCCUUCUGAUCAAAACUUAGAUGAUCAGUGAUAUCCAAGGUCCCUAAUAACUACUGGAUUCUCAGAUUCCAGUGUGUGAGCAUGAGACAAUGAAGGCAAAUGGGUAGGACCUGGCACACACACAUCCCAAGCACUGUCACGAAAGGAGGAUUCACACAUAUCAACAUAAAGUCUGAGACCAAAGCAAAGAAAUAGCACCUGA
RNAcentral lists this long non-coding RNA (926 nucleotides) under Homo sapiens (human). RNAcentral describes it as "HSALNT0129319". The record is from RNAcentral. Lineage: Eukaryota; Metazoa; Chordata; Mammalia; Primates; Hominidae.